This 368-nucleotide ribosomal RNA is filed under the name uncultured organism. Its description in RNAcentral is "bacterial SSU rRNA". It matches the Rfam family "Bacterial small subunit ribosomal RNA", at positions 526 to 896 of the family's 1533-position model. The record is from RNAcentral.
CGAAGGGGGCUAGCGUUGUUCGGAAUUACUGGGCGUAAAGGGUUUGUAGGCGGUUGAACAAGUCAGAUGUGAAAGCCCGGGGCUUAACCCCGGAAUUGCAUUUGAAACUGUUCAGCUAGAGAGUGUUAGAGGAAAGUGGAAUUCCUAGUGUAGGAGUGAAAUCCGUAGAGAUUAGGAGGAAUAUCGAUGGCGAAGGCAGCUUUCUGGGACAUUUCUGACGCUGAGAAACGAAAGCGUGGGUAGCAAACAGGAUUAGAUACCCUGGUAGUCCACGCCCUAAACGAUGGGUGCUAAAUGUCGGAACAUUAGUUUCGGUAUUGUAGCUAACGCGUUAAGCACCCCGCCUGGGGAGUACGGUCGCAAGAUUA